Molecule: ribosomal RNA, 81 nt
Filed under: Salmonella enterica subsp. enterica serovar Muenchen
Lineage: Bacteria; Pseudomonadati; Pseudomonadota; Gammaproteobacteria; Enterobacterales; Enterobacteriaceae
Also listed under: 14 other names
Description: partial 16S ribosomal RNA
Rfam family: Bacterial small subunit ribosomal RNA
Source: RNAcentral
UUAAAUUGAAGAGUUUGAUCAUGGCUCAGAUUGAACGCUGGCGGCAGGCCUAACACAUGCAAGUCGAACGGUAGCACAGAG